This is a long non-coding RNA of Aphis gossypii (cotton aphid), 508 nucleotides long. RefSeq lists it as uncharacterized. The transcript has 3 exons. The record is from RefSeq and is a predicted model, not a curated record. Lineage: Eukaryota; Metazoa; Arthropoda; Insecta; Hemiptera; Aphididae.
CAUGCUACUCUAUGUGUUUAUCGUUUGUCAUGAUCGUGUUUAUUCAUUUCGUUUUUUUUCGUUUACGUUUUCGUAGGUGUAACUACCAAAGAAAAGCCUGAAGCGAAAUUAUCUAAAAGCAUAAAUUAGAAUCUGUUGAAAAACAAGUUGCUGGAUUACGUUAUUAUCACAGAAUCUACUAUUAAUACAGAACAGGAAUUACAAACAUUGGAAACAAAAUUAAUUAACCGUGAUGAAAACCAUGAAUUUAGGUCUCAAUAUAAAUUGUUGAAAUUACAUAGUCAAUGGGUAAAGACAUUUUUAGACAAAGCAUUUAUUAUAAUGUUAAUAAUAUUAUUUUUAUUAUCAAACAAUUUCAAAAAAGUAAUUUUAUUUUAUUUUAUUUUUUGAUACUUAACUAGAAUUUGUUUGUUUUAAAUAUUUUAUUUACCUAAGUAUAAUACUUUUCAAAACAGUAUAAAAUAAUUUAUCAUUUAUUAUAAAAUAAAUUGAUGUUAUUUAUUAUAUC